UACGCACGCUGGCGGCGUGCUUAACACAUGCAAGUCGAACGGAAAGGCCCUGCUUUUGUGGGGUGCUCGAGUGGCGAACGGGUGAGUAACACGUGAGUAACCUGCCCUUGACUUUGGGAUAACUUCAGGAAACUGGGGCUAAUACCGGAUAGGAGCUCCUGCUGCAUGGUGGGGGUUGGAAAGUUUCGGCGGUUGGGGAUGGACUCGCGGCUUAUCAGCUUGUUGGUGGGGUAGUGGCUUACCAAGGCUUUGACGGGUAGCCGGCCUGAGAGGGUGACCGGCGAAGAUAGAGCGAGGUUACAGCCACGAGACGGAGGGCAGGUAUCUGUGUGAAAAAGUGCACAAUGGGCGGAAGACGGGAGAACGCACGAAUGGUGGGGGUUGCGGGCACGCGGGUGGACAACUGCUAUCGUGCGAGACGAGGAGUGAGUGGCUGUAUAGAGUAAAAAAUCGCCAGUUAACAACGGUACAGAAGUGGCGAAAUAGUAGGAAGAGCAUAGGUUGAUG
This 507-nucleotide ribosomal RNA is filed under the name uncultured bacterium. RNAcentral's name for it is "partial 16S ribosomal RNA". The stretch from base 16 to 370 matches the Rfam family "Bacterial small subunit ribosomal RNA", at positions 43 to 396 of the family's 1533-position model. The record is from RNAcentral.